AUUGAACGCUGGCGGCAUGCCUUACACAUGCAAGUCGAACGGCAGCACGGGGGCAACCCUGGUGGCGAGUGGCGAACGGGUGAGUAAUACAUCGGAACGUGCCCCGUAGCGGGGGACAACCAGUCGAAAGACUGGCUAAUACCGCAUACGCUCCACGGAGGAAAGCAGGGGAUCGCAAGACCUUGCACUAUGGGGAGCGGCCGAUGCCCGAUUAGCUAGUUGGUGAGGUAAAGGCUCACCAAGGCAACGAUCGGUAGCUGGUCUGAGAGGACGACCAGCCACACUGGGACUGAGACACGGCCCAGACUCCUACGGGAGGCAGCAGUGGGGAAUUUUGGACAAUGGGCGCAAGCCUGAUCCAGCCAUGCCGCGUGCGGGAAGAAGGCCUCGGUU
This 393-nucleotide ribosomal RNA is filed under the name uncultured bacterium. RNAcentral describes it as "bacterial SSU rRNA". It matches the Rfam family "Bacterial small subunit ribosomal RNA", at positions 29 to 424 of the family's 1533-position model. The record is from RNAcentral.